RNAcentral lists this long non-coding RNA (1700 nucleotides) under Apteryx haastii (Great spotted kiwi). RNAcentral's name for it is "lncRNA (ENSAHAG00000001718.1)". Lineage: Eukaryota; Metazoa; Chordata; Aves; Apterygiformes; Apterygidae. The record is from RNAcentral.
CACAUCCCCCUCUCACGAAACCCCCCCUCCCGACGUAUCCAUGGAUUCCUCAGCUCCUCCCGCUGCCCGGGCGCCAACGGGGGAGCCAGGGCACCCACGGGUGGCACCGGGGGCACCCACGGGUGACGCCGGGGCCUCACCCGACAGCUUGCUCUUGGCCUCGUGGUCGAUGGGUUGGCUGGAGAGCGAGUUCACCCGGAUCUCGGCCACGGGCACCGCCACGUCCUUCACCACGUUGUGCAGCCCCAGCACCAGGCCCCCCUCGCUCGGGUGCUGCAUCACCUGCGGGAUGGGGUGGCACCCAUGGGUGCCCCGGUAGCCUGACCUGAGCUCUCCCGGCACCCAGAAUGCUCAUUGCGCCUUGAGAGCCCUGAUCGGUGGGGUUCUGGCACCCACCAACCCGAUGCGUGGUGUCCUGGAACCCAUCACCCUGAGCACCCUGAUCCGUGGUGCUCUGGCACCCAUCAUCCUGAGCACCCCGAUCUGUGGUGUCCUGGCACCCAUCACCCUGAGCACCCUGAUCCAUGGUGCCCCAGCACCCACCACCCCAUGGGCACCCUGAUCCGUGGUGUCCCGGCACCCACCACCCCUUGAGCACCCUGAUCCGUGGUGCCCCAGCACCCAUCACCCCAUGGGCACCCUGAUCCAUGGCGUCCUGGCACCCACCACCCCGUGAGCACCCUGAUCCAUGGUGCCCCAGCACCCACCACCCCAAGCACCCCGAUCCGUGGUGUCCUGGCACCCACCACCCCGAUGCGUGGUGUCCUGGAACCCAUCACCCUGAGCACCCUGAUCUGUGGUGCCCCAGCACCCACCACCCCAUGGGCACCCUGAUCCGUGGUGCCCUGGCACCCAUCACCCUGAGCACCCUGAUCCGUGGUGCCCCAGCACCCACCACCCCCCAAGCACCCCAAUCCAUGAGCACCCUGAUCUGUGGUGUCCUGGCACCCACCACCCCAGGCACCCCAAUCCAUGAGCACCCUGAUCCAUGGUGUCCUGGCACCCACCACCCCAGGCACCCCAAACCUUGGUGCCCUAGCACCCAGCACCCCACCACCCCAUGGGCACCCUGAUCCGUGGUGCUCUGGCACCUACCACCACCCCAAGCACCCCCAUCUGUGGUGCCCCAGCACCCAGCACCCCCUGGGCACCCUGAUCCGUGGUGUCCUGGCACCCACCACCCUGAUCCGUGGUGCCCUGGCACCCACCACCCCUUGAGCACCCCAAUCCGUGGUGCCCCAGCACCCACCACCCCAAGCACCCCGAUCCGUGGUGUCCUGGCACCCACCACCCUGAGCACCCCGAACCAUGGUGCCCCAGCACCCCACCACCCCCUGGGCACUCUGAUCCGUGGUAUCCUGGCACCCACCACCCCCUGGGCACCCUGAUCCGUGGUGUCCUGGCACCCACCACCCCGAUCUGUGGUGCCCUGGCACCCACCACCCCUUCAGCACCUCAAUCUGUGGUGCCCCAGCACCCCACCACCCCAUGGGCAGCCUGAUCCAUGGUGCUCUGGCACCUACCACCACUUGAGCACCCUGAUCUGUGGCGUCCUGGCACCCAGCACCCCAAACACCCCAAUCCGUUGUGCCCCAGCACCCCGAGCACCCCGAUCCGUGGUGCCCCAGCACCCCACCACCCCUUGAGCACCUCCAUCUACGGUGCUCCAGCACCCUCCAAACACCCCAAACCUUGGUACC